GGAUGUUCCAGAUACAGAAAACCGUCAAACCAUUUACAACAAAGUCCGUUUCUGAACCAUACGAUGAGACUGUUUUGAUGAGGAAUUGAAAGAUUAUGUGUCCCAUCCAUUUGACUCACAGUUUGGUACCAUAGGUUGGUACGAUCUUCGUUGGAGAAGGAAAAGGGAUGUUCCAGAUACAGAAAAUCGUCAAACCAUUUACGACAAAGUCCGUUUCUGGGUGGAGUUAGUGGAACCGAAAAAGAUGUCUCCCUCACAGUGUUUGUGACAAAAGAAUUGCAUCGUUCCUUGGCGGCCUUUCAACAGAAUAUUCAGAGAUUUCCCGAGUGGGAAGAAUGACACAAUCAUCGCCUUGGAAGCUUCAUCACGAUACUACUUUGCAUUUCUGAAGAGGGAAGAAGAAAUCAACAUGCAAAUUCAAUUCCAUGGUUUUGGAAGUCCCAUUGAGAACACGAUUCAUUUGCGCCGGCAUAAUGCUCUGACCGAGAAAGAAUUGAAGCUUCCGCUUGGAAGAAAGAUUCACAUCAAGUUGACUGGUCAAGUAAAUGGGACACUGACUAACCAUACAAUUAGACUGUUUUGAUGAGGAACUUAAAGAUUACGAGUCCCGUCCGUUUGACUCAGAGUUUGGUACCAUAGGUUGGUACGACCUUCGUUGGAGAAGGAAAAGGGAUGUUCCAGAUACAGAAAAUAGUCAAACCAUUUACUACAAAGUCCGUUUCUGGGUGGAGUUAGUGGAACCGAAAAAGAUGUCUCCCUCACAGCGUUUGUGACAAAAGAGUUGCAUUGUUCCUUGGCGGCCUUUCAACAGAAGAAUAUUCAGAGAUUUCACGAGUGAUUCUGAUGUUGGUUCCUGGAAAGCCUCCAUUGUUGGAGGACGAGAAGCCGUAUCCAAUUGAAGCAGCACGGGCUUCUGCGAUGACUGUGGAAACCACUGCUUAUGCCUUGCUUCAAGCAUUGUCAAGGAAUGAUAUUGACUAUGCAACACCGAUUGCGAGGUGGCUAACGAUGCAACAGAACGAUGGUGGUGGAUUUCACUCGACGCAGGUAAAUGCUUGAGAUCACAACAACAGGCAUUCAGAUAUUUCCAUUGAUCAUGUUACU
Long non-coding RNA from Stegostoma tigrinum, 1104 nucleotides. RefSeq lists it as uncharacterized. The transcript has 8 exons. The record is from RefSeq and is a predicted model, not a curated record. Lineage: Eukaryota; Metazoa; Chordata; Chondrichthyes; Orectolobiformes; Stegostomatidae.